Molecule: ribosomal RNA, 346 nt
Filed under: uncultured bacterium
Lineage: Bacteria
Description: partial 16S ribosomal RNA
Rfam family: Bacterial small subunit ribosomal RNA
Source: RNAcentral
CCUACGGGAGGCUGCAGUAGGGAAUCUUCGGCAAUGGACGAAAGUCUGACCGAGCAACGCCGCGUGAGUGAAGAAGGUUUUCGGAUCGGAAAACUCUGUUGGUAGAGAAGAACGUUGGUGAGAGUGGAAAGCUCAUCAAGUGACGGGAACUACCGAGAAAGGGACGGCUAAGCACGUGCCAGCAGCCGCGGUAAUACGUAGGUCCCGAGCGUUGUCCGGAUUGAUUGGGCGUAAAGCGAGCGCAGGUGGUUUAUUAAGUCUGCUGUCAAAGGCAGUGGCUCAACCAUUGUAUGCAUUGGAAACUGGUAGACUGAGGUGCAGGAGAGGAGAGUGGAAUUCCAUGUGU